GCCGGAUACGGACUUUACAGACGUGAAGAAAACCAAUUCUGGGAGAUAUCUUCCGGAUAAAGUUAUCGGGAACUUAUACGGAGGUGAAGAAACCGGCCAUCAGUCACUUGCAUGGAGCAUCUACGAUCGAUAAUGACAGCUGUCAGUGUUCAUUUGGUGUGCGGCUUGGAUCUCCGAACUUCAAAUUUCAAGGAUUUCAAAUAGGUCCUACAAAUCUGCUGGUUGUGUCUUCUUCUUGGUCUUCCAGAUAUCCUUUAUGUAUCCCGAAAUGUAAAAAAGUGUUUUGCAUUAUAUAAUACACCCAACCCAUAUGAAUAUACUGCUUUUGAUUUGUAACGAUUGAUAAUAAAUUUUUACUUCCAAA
Athalia rosae (coleseed sawfly) is the source of this 364-nucleotide long non-coding RNA. RefSeq lists it as uncharacterized. NCBI's taxonomy places the organism in Eukaryota, Metazoa, Arthropoda, Insecta, Hymenoptera, Athaliidae. The record is from RefSeq and is a predicted model, not a curated record. The transcript is spliced from 2 exons.